UACUGUAGAUACUAGGUUUCCGACUUUGU
Molecule: small RNA, 29 nt
Filed under: Bombyx mori (domestic silkworm)
Lineage: Eukaryota; Metazoa; Arthropoda; Insecta; Lepidoptera; Bombycidae
Description: ovarian small RNA-21548
Source: RNAcentral